This 565-nucleotide ribosomal RNA is filed under the name Streptomyces sp. 337G02. Its description in RNAcentral is "bacterial SSU rRNA". It matches the Rfam family "Bacterial small subunit ribosomal RNA", at positions 93 to 671 of the family's 1533-position model. The record is from RNAcentral. Lineage: Bacteria; Bacillati; Actinomycetota; Actinomycetes; Kitasatosporales; Streptomycetaceae.
UAGUGGCGAACGGGUGAGUAACACGUGGGCAAUCUGCCCUGCACUCUGGGACAAGCCCUGGAAACGGGGUCUAAUACCGGAUAUUGACCUGCCUCUGCAUGGAGGUGGGUGGAAAGCUCCGGCGGUGCAGGAUGAGCCCGCGGCCUAUCAGCUAGUUGGUGAGGUAAUGGCUCACCAAGGCGACGACGGGUAGCCGGCCUGAGAGGGCGACCGGCCACACUGGGACUGAGACACGGCCCAGACUCCUACGGGAGGCAGCAGUGGGGAAUAUUGCACAAUGGGCGAAAGCCUGAUGCAGCGACGCCGCGUGAGGGAUGACGGCCUUCGGGUUGUAAACCUCUUUCAGCAGGGAAGAAGCGAAAGUGACGGUACCUGCAGAAGAAGCGCCGGCUAACUACGUGCCAGCAGCCGCGGUAAUACGUAGGGCGCGAGCGUUGUCCGGAAUUAUUGGGCGUAAAGAGCUCGUAGGCGGCUUGUCACGUCGGUUGUGAAAGCCCGGGGCUUAACCCCGGGUCUGCAGUCGAUACGGGCAGGCUAGAGUUCGGUAGGGGAGAUCGGAAUUCCU